Non-coding RNA from Kogia breviceps (pygmy sperm whale), 7664 nucleotides. Lineage: Eukaryota; Metazoa; Chordata; Mammalia; Artiodactyla; Physeteridae. The record is from RefSeq and is a predicted model, not a curated record.
GAAAGAGCACCCUAUAAGGAAGAAGAAAGUAUUGCCUCGGGUCCUCCCGCAUCAGCUGACCCCCCACCUUCCAAAUUCAAUGGUGCACGUUCACUCCAGCUACCGGCUGAUAAUGACCUUGGUACAUCCAGUUCUGAAAAUCCCUUGGAUGUUAAAGACAUGAGGCAAACUGAAGAGGCUUGUGGUCCCGAUAACACAGAGGACAUCGCGGAGGGGUUGCUUUGUUCUGAUUCAAGUACUAUUCCCGAUAAACAAGAUGUGUGUGGCCACAGGACAGUGCAUUCCAAACUGUCAAGGUUAAUGGAUGGUGCCUUAGACACUAAUGGCCCUAAUGAAGGAGGCUUAAACUCUAGUCAUCAAAAUCCCAAAGUGCAGAAAUACAUCAGCCUUAGCCUACCGCUGAUGGAGGCAGCCUCAUCCACUUCCCCAGGUGACAGGGCCACGAGCAAGAAUCCAGUCAGCCGCCCGGCCUCCCGCAGAGGCUUUGACAGUGAUUAUGAACUUUGCUCAGAGAUAUCCCUCACCUGCACCGAGGAGUUUUCGGACAAUGACCUGGAGUAUCUGGAAUGUUCCGACGUCAUGACAGAUCACUCUAAUGCAAUUUGGCAAAGGGACCUGCAGGGGACUGAGCGUGUUUUUUUAUUAGAAAGCGAUGACGAAGAGAUGGAAUUCGGUGAGUGUUGCCCGGGUGGGUGUGAGAAUUUCCUCAGUGAAAUGGGUUGUGAGCCUCUGGUGGCGGAUGACACCGGGCCUAUGGAUGCCACUGCUGGCCUCUGUGGUUACCGCUUACCAUCCCAAGGAGGGGAGGUAAGGAGCAGCCUAGCCUCCGUGCACAGUGCCUCAUCCCCGCAAACAGGGGUGACCCUGCCGGUGGGACCUCACCAGGAUGGAACGUCUGUGGUGACAGACAAGGGGAGAGAUAAACCACCCACUGCUCCUGAAGCUGCUGAAGAUGGUUAUCCAGGAACUCAAGGGGAAACCAGAGACGGCCACCAGGCAGGAAAGGAAUUUGCCAGUGACAAUCUGCUAAACAUGGAUAAAGCAGUAACAGAGAGAGAGAGGAAGCACUUAUAUGGUGAGUUAGGAAAAUCAGGAAUGAACCAGUGUUUGGAGACUGUGGCUGAGAAAAGAUUAGGGGGGAAAGACUUAUUGAGCCGGAGAGGCUCCGAGAAACCUGCCAGGGCGAGGCGACCGGGGAUUAAGGGAAAAGCCAAGAAGCUGAACCCCAACCUGGAAGAAAGGGCAACAGAAGCCUCCUUGAAUCGCCUGUAUCCCAGGGGACCUGUUAAGCACCCACUGACCCCAAGUGACAGAAGAGAGAGUUCCCAUGCCAAAGCAGAAGCGACUGAUUUGAAUUCCCAUGCAGGAGGCUGUGCUAUUCCAGCACAAGCAGAGCAAGAAGCAAAAAUCCUGCAGACUCCACCAGGCUCACUCUCCAAAGAAGGGAACUUGGACUUGCAGGGAGAAGGGGUGUGGGUUAAAAACGUACUUGAAACAAGCAGCGUUCCAGACUGGAGAGAUCAUCCUCAGGUGCAAAUUCAGGAAACAGUCAGGGAGCAGAUCUCUCUCAGCCGAAUGCCAGCUUUCUCAGAGCCUACUGGGGAGGAGUCUGCAUUUACUAUGACCACAAUAGAUUCCUUCUCCAAUUUAGGAGGGAUUGACACGAAAAAUGCAUCGGCCCAACACCUGGAGGUAGAAAGGUGUACCCAAGGCUCACGGCACGAAGAAAACCAAGAUGGAGAAGACAGCACCCCUGGAUGUCCCAGGGGAGACCUAGGGUGUGAGCUGAGCAUCCUAGAAGCCAAUAGCGAAAAUAUGCCCCCCUGUGAGCCGUCGGCACCUCUCCCCCAGGAGAACAGCGCUGACCCCGGGGAGACCCGAGCUCCCUCUCUUGCUUCCCCUGAACUUGUACAUACCGUCCCCACCUUGGAAACUGCGUGUGCUGGGCCAAGAGACAGAGUGACAGCGUGUUUCCUGGGCCGUCCUGAGGCAGGUGACCAAGAAGCAUGUGAUACUGUGAGCUCUCCUGUUGGAGCCCCAGCUGGUAAAUAUUUGCCUCAAGAAAUGUGCUCCAUGGACUUCGAGCUGGCAGGUCAAAGCAAAGUGUCUGAUUUGUGUUCUUCUGAUGACAAGGCGCUGAAUGUUCUUUCUCAAACACAAGGUUCUGAGCUUCCACAGUCUACAUACGGAAGCAGCAGUGAGAGAACCUCUGCCGUGUUCCCUCUUUUUAUCAGUACUCUCACCUGGAACAUUUCACAGAAAGCCAGUAGAGGUGCCGCUGGGGAAAAUGUCUCCAAGGUGGAGGGUUCCACCUCCACGUUGGCCUCCAUGGUAAAGGCUGGUCAGGAGAGGCUGAGCCCCAGUCACUCAGGUGGGCUCGAGGAAAGACAGCCUCUGUCUUCUGAGAAUGACUCUUUGGAACGGUCUAAAGAAGGUGGUGAUGAGAGCUCUAGCUCCGGUGCCCUGGUCACUGCAGACACACCAGCCAGUCAUAGUUCAACAGCGAAGUUUCCUCAGGAGAAGCCAACAACAUUAAUUGCUAACCUUGAGUGUUUUGAGGUGACUGGGGAGAGUGAGGACACAUCCACUGUUACCAUUGCCACCAAAGGCCACCCACCCAAAUACCUCCCUGUUUCAGUUGCUGGGAGCAGCCAUGUAGGUGGCCCUGACGAGAGCUUAUCUCGGGCACCAGAUGACAAUAUGUCUCGACUUCCUUCCAAUGCACAGUUGGGUCAUAUUUUAAAUGGUUCUACAACUGAAUCUUCAAAAGGGCUAGCGUGUGUGGCUCCCAGUGGACCAGGAAUCCACGUCCACGUUCCUCAGCUCCCAGAGGGAGAGGAUUUCGGUAGCAAUUCCCCUCUUCAGAUUGAUAACCAGUCUGGAAAAAAGAGCCAGACCGUGCACAGAGCAGACACUAGGAGCCUUGAAGAGAAUUUCCAAGAAAAAGGAAGUGAAACAACACAGAGGGUCCAGCAGGUUUCUCUUGGUGAAAACUUCCAAGAGAGCUUGCCCACGACCUCUGCUGUACAAGGGGAAAUAAACCUGGUACUCUCGGACCACUCACCGGCCAACUCCAGGGAGGGGCGAGAACAGAGCUCGGGCCUGGGGACUCGUGUGCCCAUGGGGGCUGAAUCUACGAUGGAAGAUGAUAGUCAGGCUCUGAGUAAUGUUCCUUCUCUCUCUAAUACCCUUCGGGGGGAGUCUAAAGAGAGCGGGCCAGGAUAUGGGGAAGCAGGUAAAAAGCUGAAGAUUAUAACUCUAGAGGCUUCCAUUUCAGAAACCUGGCCACCAAGACAACUGACAGAUUCUAAGUGCAAGGAGUCAGAACCUAGUCUCAUCCCUGGCAGGGUCUGGGCUGUAUCUGACGUUCUAAAGGCUGAUGCGGCCGUGCCUGAACCGGGCCCCUCUGAGGCAGCGUCAGCCUGUAGUCCUCGGGCUGAGUCUGGCUCAGCAAUUGCUAAUAACAGAGAAAUCCAUAAAGGUGAAGACCUAGCUGGCCAUGCAAACUGGAGUUGUCUUUCCUCCCAGUGUCUGAGCCAACCCAGACUCCUGGAGUCCUCUGUGGACCCUGUAGAUGAAAAAGAAUUAUGUGUCACAGACUUGCUAUCAGAGGCUUCCAGAACUGGAAGGAAGGAAAAUGUUAACAGUGUAAGUCAAAACCAAGAGGAAAGCCAACUCAAGAUGGAUCGCCCUGCCUUCUUUAAACAGUUCCUGACCUGCCCUAAAAUCUUAGAGUCCUCUGUAGAUCCCACUGAUGAAACAAGCGUGGAGUGGGCCAGGGUGGAAACACCAGAGCCUUCUGAAUCCACACUGGGGGCCAUCAGAGUGGAGAGUAAGUUGAAUGAUGGAAACCUGGGCCAGAGAGUAGAUGUCCAACCAUCCAUCUUGCAAGUUCCGUGCCCCCGGCAAAGUGGGGAAGCCAUUCCAAGUGAAAACAGCAUCAGCCGAGACCAAGGGCACGGUGGGGGAGAGGGGGCAAGGCAAAGUCAACAUGACAAAGCAAAGGGGGACGUACAGUCUGCCAUUUUGCCUGUCCUGUGUCCUGUCAAAGGUGGGGAAACGAUUCCAAGGGGACGUGGCAGAAGCCAAAUACAAGAAGGCAGUGAGAGGCUCUUAGCGGAGUCUGAACAAAAUAAUAAUAACAAAGCAGAAUUAGUUUCCCCCACUUUACCUCUUUCUAGCGGUCUUGCAAGAAUGACUCCCACCUCUGGAGUUGAUACUCACAGCUCCCCAAGUCAAAGUCAUGACCUCCCUGAGAAUGAUUUAGUGGAGCCCAGAAACCAUCAAUGUGCGUUUUCUGACUCAAAGGAAGGGGGAGCUAGUGAGAGUGAGUGUGGGAAACAUGUGGCCCCUUCUAGUGGUCUCACUUGGGGGCCUUUUACUUCAUCUCUUGAAGGAAGCAUCACAGGCUUUUCAAGAAGCCACAAAAUUGAGGAACAUAAAAUAGAGGAGCCCCCAGUUGGGAAAACCAAACCCACAAGCACGUCUGGCUGCCCGGCAGCAACGCUCAUGUCCGGAGAAUGUGCAUCAGAGAAAGUUCCUAAGAUGCUGCAGGACCCCUGCCAGCAGGGCUCCACCCUUGGCCGUGGGAAAAUGUCAAGGGAGGAGAAGGUGGGCCCUCUGGUGGCCCAAGCUGGCUGCCUCCCCAGGGCCCCUCCAGCAGUGACUGGGUCAGAGGAGGCCAAGGGGAAGCAAGAAACCCCAGGGAGUGGACACGUAGCUGAGGCAGUAAAGAAGAAAAUUCUGUCCAGGGUGGCCGCCCUGAGGCUGAGAUUGGAAGAGAAAGAAAACGCCAGAAAGAACUCAACCUUUCUUAAAAAGAGUCCUAAACUCGAAACAUCGGUAUCACGCACAGAUGAGAAAAAAGACUCCAAAAGGCCACCUUGCAAAAGCGAAGGGACAGCUCCGGUAUUACUGAAAAAGAUCCAGGCUGAGAUGUUCCCUGACCACUCUGGAAAUGUAAAAUUAAGCUGCCAGUUUGCAGAGAUUCAUGAAGAUUCUACUAUCUGGUGGAUGAAAGAUUCCAAGUCGAUAGCCCAAGUGCAGAGAAGAGCAGGAGACGGCUCCGCUGUGUCCUUGGCCAUCCUUCAAGCCAGUCAGAAGGACCAGGGCCUCUAUUCUUGCUGCAUCAAGAACAGUUUUGGGAAAGUGGCUACGGAAUUUAACCUCACCACAGAAGUUCUCAAACAACUUUCAAGUCACCCAGAUGUUAACGUAUACGAAGAGAUUGAAUUCAGCCAACUCAUCUUCAGAGGAGACUUCCUCAGUGACAGCUACUUCGGGGGCCGUCUGCGCGGUCAGAUCGCCACGGAGGAGUUGCAUUUUGGGGAAGGGGUCCACCGGAAAGCCUUCCGCAGCAAAGUGAUGCAGGGCCUCACACCAGUCUUCAAGCCCGGCCACGCCUGUGUGCUCAAGGUGCACAAUGCCGUUGCCUACGGGACCAGAAACAAUGAUGAGCUCAUCCAGAGGAACUACAAACUCGCCGCCCAGGAAUGCUACGUUCAAAAUACCGCCAGAUACUAUGCCAAGAUCUAUGCCGCUGAAGCGCAGCCUCUGGAAGGCUUUGGAGAAGUGCCAGAGAUCAUUCCUAUUUUUCUUAUCCAUCGACCUGAGAACAAUAUCCCAUACGCAACAGUGGAGGAAGAGCUCAUUGGAGAAUUUGUGAAAUAUUCCAUCAGGGAUGGGAAGGAGAUAAACUUCUUGAGAAGAGAAUCAGAGGCUGGCCAGAAAUGUUGCACCUUCCAGCACUGGGUCUACCAGAAGACAAGUGGCUGCCUCCUGGUCACAGACAUGCAGGCUAACCAAAAACUGGCACUCUAUGUCCUCAAUAGGCACAAAUUCAGACGUACGCAUGAAAAUCCAGAUGUACCAAAAGAUAAAUUAAAAUGUGUAGGAAUGAAGUUGACUGACGUUGGCAUAGCAACAUUGGCUAAAGGACCACUUUGCUGUUUUGCCUGCUUACGCAAAAGAAAAGAACGCUUCUUACGCUUUGAAAAGAAGCUAUUUGUUAUCCUCUCUAGUAAGAACCAGUCCUCACUUCAGGUCGCAUUUAUCCUGGUCGAAGCUCAUGACCCUCUGAGAAGAAGAGGCAGCCUUAACUAGUGGAUGCUGAGUCAAGAGAUGACAGCAUAUUAUAUCAUCAUCUUCCUGGGGUGCUCUCAGGCUCUGAGGGUCAGAAUUCUCAGGACACAGCUUGGAGAAAACUGCAGAAGGGACUAAACUCUCACUCCCUUUCGGAACCAGAUUCCUCAAGAGGCAGCAGGUAGAAAAGCAGCACACUAUCAGAAGCUGAUCCCACUGGGUGGACUUUCCAAAUUCAUCUUUAGGCUGACAAGAGUCAGAAAUAGAAAUCCCCAGGACUUGUACAGUUGGCUGUGAUAACCGAUGUUUAAAAGACUUUCAACAUGCAGUACGUAUGUAAACUCUGGCACUUACUUCUUAACCUCAAGGCAAAAUGGCCCAUAACAACUCUUUUUCAGCAAACUGAGGAAGCUAGAUUCAGGUAAUUUCUAAGAAAGCAGAGGCUCUAAGAGACCCUGGACUGCGGAGUAACGUCACUGCUAAGGACAACAAGAUGAGGUGACACUGACUGGAGCAGGCACAGGCCCAAGGGACCGCCCGGCAGCCUGCUUCACACGCAGUGCAUUUUCCUGACUGCCUCUGUGAUUACGUCGUGACGGUGAUGGAGAGCGGUCAUCAGGAUCGAGAGAAAACAAGAUAGGUGAGUAUUUUAGACAAAGAGUAAACACUGAGGAUUGAUGAGAACUAGGGAACGUUAUUUGGAUGAAAAAAAAAAAAGACAACCAAAAGCCCCAAACAAAUUCUAGACCCAGCACUUUUGAGCUGUCACUGAAAUCAGAUAUUAAGGGAUAGAUGAGCUGAAUUGUCAUUCACAGUUACUGCCUUUCAAGUAUUCAUGGGGGUCUAUUUCGGUAAUUCUUAUCUGUUCUUGGCACAGAAACGAUCUCAGGAUGGGUUUUCUUUCUUAUUUUCAAUACGUUGCCUAAUUUGCAUUUAGUGAAUAUUCUGAUUUUUUGGAAUAUACAGUUUACAAAAAGACAGAAGAAUCCCAGUUCUUAGACAAGAAGCAUUGGAUUUCUCCCCCUAUAAUUACACACUCACUCUCAGAACCCAUCCAAGCGUACUGCUCUCCCAGGCUUUGGCAUAAGUCAUAAAAAGAAAGCCGAGUCUGGACUUGAGGGGCUACAAGAAGGGGGAGGUUUGCCUCUGAGACAUCUGUUACAUUGAGCGUUGGGAAAAAAAUCCCACCAAUAGGUAAAAAUAAUGAACAAUAUCGUUUUUUCUAAUUACUCAAUAUCUAAGUUUUUCUGAUCACUACUGGAUUUUAAAAAAUCAAUAUGAAAAGGGAACAAUCCUCAGCUCUGUAGAAAUCCACCUUCUUUUAGACACCUAGGCCUCUGCACCGCUUCAGAAAACUCCUUUACAAGCACAAACGUUCGUGGCUUCCCACGAGCCACCCAGAGCCAGGGUAAAUUGAGUUUGUAACGCCAAAAGAUCCCAAAUGGAGGCCCUGAAACCACAAUUUUAUUGUCUUAUCUACAACUAGCGGGAGGUGAGAUGACUAGUGUCCCCUGACUGCCACCACGGGUCUAGGACAACACAGGUUAAGAAGGACAGCAGGAUUGCUGGACUCCCGCCCUGCC